UCAUUGGGUUUAAAGGGUGCGUAGGCGGCUUGUUAAGUCAGUGGUGAAAUAUCCGAGCUUAACUUGGAAACUGCCAUUGAUACUAUUAGUCUUGAAUGUUGUGGAGGUAGGCGGAAUAUGUCAUGUAGCGGUGAAAUGCAUAGAUAUGACACAGAACACCAAUUGCGAAGGCAGCUGAUUACACAAAUAUUGACGCUGAGGCACGAAAGCGUGGGGAUCAAACAGGAUUAGAUACCCUGGUAGUCCACGCCCUAAACGAUGAUUACUCGAACUUUGCGAUACACAGUCAGUGUCUAAGCGAAAGCGUUAAGUAAUCCACCUGGGAAGUACGCCCGCAAGGUUAAACUCAAAGGAAUUGACGGGGGUCCGCACAAGCGGGGAGCAUGUGGUUUAAUUCGAUGCUACGCGAGGAACCUUA
RNAcentral lists this ribosomal RNA (418 nucleotides) under uncultured Sphingobacteriales bacterium. Its description in RNAcentral is "bacterial SSU rRNA". It matches the Rfam family "Bacterial small subunit ribosomal RNA", at positions 551 to 973 of the family's 1533-position model. Lineage: Bacteria; Pseudomonadati; Bacteroidota; Sphingobacteriia; Sphingobacteriales. The record is from RNAcentral.